CCUACGGGUGGCAGCAGUGGGGAAUCUUCCGCAAUGGGCGAAAGCCUGACGGAGCAACGCCGCGUGAUCGAAUGAAGGCCUUCGGGUUGUAAAGAUCUGUUGACAGGGACGAAUAAGCAAUGCAAAUAGUUUUGUGUAUGACGGUACCUGUUUAGAAAGCUCCGGCUAACUACGUGCCAGCAGCCGCGGUAAUACGUAGGGAGCAAGCGUUGUCCGGAUUUACUGGGUGUAAAGGGAGCGUAGACGGCUGUGCAAGUCUGAAGUGAAAGCCCAGGGCUCAACCCUGGGACUGCUUUGGAAACUGUGGAGCUAGAGUGCUGGAGAGGUAAGUGGAAUUCCUAGUGUAGCGGUGAAAUGCGUAGAUAUUAGGAGGAACACCAGUGGCGAAGGCGGCUUACUGGAUAGUAACUGACGUUGAGGCUCGAAAGCGUGGGGAGCAAACAGGAUUAGAUACCCGGGUAGUC
This 464-nucleotide ribosomal RNA is filed under the name uncultured bacterium. RNAcentral's name for it is "partial 16S ribosomal RNA". It matches the Rfam family "Bacterial small subunit ribosomal RNA", at positions 338 to 795 of the family's 1533-position model. The record is from RNAcentral.